UUUAAAUGUCAUAUGCAAAUAAAAACUAACAUUUUCUAGACAGCAUGCAUAUGUUUAUCUAUAUAACUGCAUCAUGCUACAUCAGGAAGAGAAAUAUAUAUAUCAUGAAUAUAAUGUCUGCUUCAGUCAUCCAUAUCAUCGCUGGCAUUAUAUUGAUGAUAUUCAGAAUCUAGAACUCUGUUUCUCAGAUCUUGAUCACUCUUUGAAGUGUAAAACAAAAUAACAUAAAAGGUCAUCAUGCUCAUUUAUCAUUUAGGCAAGUUGAUAAAAUUAAGCCCGUUAUUAAAAAUCCUGAAAAUAUAAAAAACUCAUUGAAAACACACUUAGUAUAACUGAUUGUCACCAAGGACUUUGUCAGUCCUUAAACUGUAGUUUUUUUCAUUUCUUCUGCUACUCAUCAUUACCCUUUGUCACCUUAUUUGUUCUAGCCAAUUUAAUUCAUUGAUGUUGGUUGCAAAGGCUAUAAAACUCAAUGUGAUUCUUGGUGAGUUUGAGUCAGCCUCAUACAUGAUAAGUAGAGAGUAGACUGUCAGAUUGUCAGAGAUGCAACUUACUUUGUCCUUUUGUUUCUCUUAGAUGUGGAUUUGAAAAGAAAGUUUCCAGAAGACUUAAAGAAGAAAUCAGAGUAUGGACUUUUUGCUCUCUGAAAUCAUUUUUUUAUUGCAUGUCCGUGAAAAGAGAUUGAAGGAUUUAAGCUUAAGUCUACAGAAGACUGAGGGAAGGCAUGGCAACAACUUCCAAAUAUGUAAAGAGGUGCUCCAGAGCAAUAAGGUACACAACUUCUGUCAUCUACAGAAUUAAGUUAAAGAACACUGAAAAAGGACUACUGAGGCACAUUACUGACAACAGAAGUGUUAUUAGUGGUAGGCUGAUCAUUGCUUUGAUUUGUCUACUGGAGCAGAAAAAAAAAUGCAGUUCAGCAGUGCAGGCAGUAAUUCCACACUAUGAGCUGGCAGGGAGAAAAAAAAAAAAUCUUCUAAUCAUUCUUAUUGUGUAUAUGAUCCUAAAUUUUAAAAUGCCACAGUAA
RNAcentral lists this long non-coding RNA (1027 nucleotides) under Anser cygnoides (Swan goose). RNAcentral describes it as "lncRNA (ENSACDG00005004134.1)". Lineage: Eukaryota; Metazoa; Chordata; Aves; Anseriformes; Anatidae. The record is from RNAcentral.